Molecule: ribosomal RNA, 359 nt
Filed under: uncultured bacterium
Lineage: Bacteria
Description: bacterial SSU rRNA
Rfam family: Bacterial small subunit ribosomal RNA
Source: RNAcentral
ACUCCUACGGGAGGCAGCAGUGGGAAUAUUGCACAAUGGGGGAAAGCCCAUCGAUGCAGCCAUGCCGCGUGUGUGAAGAAGGCCUUCGGGUUGUAAAGACACUUUCAGUAGGGAGGAAGGUAGUGUAGUUAACACCUGCAUUAUUUGACGUUACCUACAGAAGAAGCACCGGCUAACUCCGUGCCAGCAGCCGCGGUAAUACGGAGGGUGCGAGCGUUAAUCGGAAUUACUGGGCGUAAAGCGCAUGCAGGCGGCCUGUUAAGUCAGAUGUGAAAGCCCGGGGCUUAACCUCGGAAUUGCAUUUGAAACUGGCAGGCUAGAGUCUUGUAGAGGGGGUGAGAAUUGAUCAGGUGUAGCGG